CUGAACGCUGGCGGCAGGCUUACACAUGCAAGUCGCGCGGGGUGAUGGUGCUUGCACUAUCACUUAGCGGCGGACGGGUGAGUAAUGCUUAGGAAUCUGCCUAUUAGUGGGGGACAACAUUUCGAAAGGAAUGCUAAUACCGCAUACGUCCUACGGGAGAAAGCAGGGGAUCUUCGGACCUUGCGCUAAUAGAUGAGCCUAAGUCGGAUUAGCUAGUUGGUGGGGUAAAGGCCUACCAAGGCGACGAUCUGUAGCGGGUCUGAGAGGAUGAUCCGCCACACUGGGACUGAGACACGGCCCAGACUCCUACGGGAGGCAGCAGUGGGGAAUAUUGGACAAUGGGCGCAAGCCUGAUCCAGCCAUGCCGCGUGUGUGAAGAAGGCCUUAUGGUUGUAAAGCACUUUAAGCGAGGAGGAGGCUACUCUAGUUAAUACCUAGAGAUAGUGGACGUUACUCGCAGAAUAAGCACCGGCUAACUCUGUGCCAGCAGCCGCGGUAAUACAGAGGGUGCAAGCGUUAAUCGGAUUUACUGGGCGUAAAGCGCGCGUAGGCGGCUAAUUAAGUCAAAUGUGAAAUCCCCGAGCUUAACUUGGGAAUUGCAUUCGAUACUGGUUAGCUAGAGUGUGGGAGAGGAUGGUAGAAUUCCACGUGUAGCGGUGAAAUGCGUAGAGAUCUGGGAGGAUACCGAUGGCGAGCAGCCAUCUGGCCUACACUGACGCUGAGUGCGAAGCAUGGGAGCAACAGAUUAGAUACCCUGUAGUCAUGCCGUAACGAUGUCUACUAGCCGUUGGGCCUUUGAGCUUUAGUGCGCACCUACGCGAUAGUAACCGCUGGGAGUACGUCCAGACUAAACUCAAUGAUGACGGGCCGCCAAGCGUGACAUGUGUAUCGAUGCACGGAAACUACUGCUGGAUAUAGACUUCC
RNAcentral lists this ribosomal RNA (924 nucleotides) under Acinetobacter sp. HPC397. RNAcentral describes it as "bacterial SSU rRNA". It matches the Rfam family "Bacterial small subunit ribosomal RNA", at positions 29 to 989 of the family's 1533-position model. The record is from RNAcentral. Lineage: Bacteria; Pseudomonadati; Pseudomonadota; Gammaproteobacteria; Moraxellales; Moraxellaceae.